UACGGGGGGGGCAAGCGUUGUUCGGAAUUACUGGGCGUAAAGGGCUCGUAGGCGGCCAACUAAGUCCGACGUGAAAUCCCCAGGCUUAACCUGGGAACUGCGUCGGAUACUGGAUGGCUUGAAUUCGGGAGAGGGAUGCAGAAUUCCAGGUGUAGCGGUGAAAUGCGUAGAUAUCUGGAGGAACACCGGUGGCGAAGGCGGCAUCCUGGACCGACAUUGACGCUGAGGCGCGAAAGCCAGGGGAGCAAACGGG
This 253-nucleotide ribosomal RNA is filed under the name uncultured bacterium. RNAcentral describes it as "partial 16S ribosomal RNA". It matches the Rfam family "Bacterial small subunit ribosomal RNA", at positions 524 to 776 of the family's 1533-position model. The record is from RNAcentral.